This 252-nucleotide long non-coding RNA is filed under the name Nicotiana benthamiana. RNAcentral's name for it is "long non-coding RNA (NBEN_LNC009852)". The record is from RNAcentral. Lineage: Eukaryota; Viridiplantae; Streptophyta; Magnoliopsida; Solanales; Solanaceae.
ACAAGAGGAGAUAAGGGAGGGAAAUUAGUAAUGUUAAAGACUGGGGAGUCUUGUAUAGCAACCUGCUUCUGUUUGUUCCCACCAUCAGCUGCAGCUAUAAUGCUUGUCUCCUUUGAUACCUCUUGACACUGGAUUUGAGACAUCUGGUUACUCUGGACCACUGUGACUGGUGCUUUCACUCUCCAUUCCUGUGUCACCUUGCUUUUCUGUGCAGGUUGAGCAGUUUUAGCCAAACAGUUGUGUCCAACCNNN